GAUUCUCACUCUUGGAUAUUAUAGUGUUCUUUUAAUUUCAGUCUUUCAUGCAUAAUGCCUUACAAAAAUUUCCUUUUUUAUCUCACAAAUGCAACUAUUAGAGAUAUUAAGUCUCACGGAGCUCUUUAGUGACCUUUUGCUGCAACAACUUGGUAGCAACAGUAACACCGAACCUUCUCUAUGGAGACUGCCAUGUGACUGUCCCUUCAAAGACAUGCUGACUCCUCCUCACUUUCUUCUUACCUGGUUGAUCAGAGGGACCAGCUUGAUACAGAAGUUCGUUUACCAGUUUUGUAAUAACACAGAGCAACUAGAGGAUCAAAACUCCUUGUAUGAGAGAAGAGUCUUUGUGGAUUGGGCUGAAAUUUCUGAGGGGACUCCAUCACUUUUACUAAGAAAUGUGGAUUUCACAGAUGAGGCUAUCUACAAGUGCUCAGCUAUCACACCAAAUAGAAGAGGUGAAAGUAUAAUUAAGCUAAUAGUAGAAGGUAAGGAAAUUUUUUUUUUUAAGGUAAGGGAAUUUAUUAGAUGA
RNAcentral lists this long non-coding RNA (532 nucleotides) under Canis lupus familiaris (dog). Its description in RNAcentral is "lncRNA (ENSCAFG00000056785.1)". The record is from RNAcentral. Lineage: Eukaryota; Metazoa; Chordata; Mammalia; Carnivora; Canidae.